Molecule: long non-coding RNA, 981 nt
Organism: Rosa rugosa (rugosa rose)
Lineage: Eukaryota; Viridiplantae; Streptophyta; Magnoliopsida; Rosales; Rosaceae
Exons: 4
Source: RefSeq, a predicted model, not a curated record
UCAAGCCCACCUAGAGUCCUGACCAGGCGACCAGGUGACCACGAUCGUCGAGCAAGGAGCAAGGUGUUGCAUUCCUUUUUCUUCUUCUCUCAGAGUCUUAGAGAUCGAAGGCUCCUUCUCUUCUACUCUUCUUCUUCUUUGGGGCAAUCAAUUGAAUGUAGUGGUCUGGAACAUGCUCUCUUGCUUACAAUUUAUUGUGGGUUUCUCCUUCUCUUUCCUCCAAUUCGAUGUGAGCAACUGACUCAACUGAGGACUGAGCCACUGAGGAACAAUGGUUUCGAAUUUAUUGGUUGUCUUGCUCUGUUCCUGUGUACUGGCAUUCUUCCUGAAUUACUGUAUAUUUCUUAAUACGACACUAAAUUCAGCACUAACGCAGACAAUUUGCGGUAACUUGAAGGUUUGUAUCCACUAAAUUUCUGCAUCUCCGGGAUGUAUUACAACAUAGUUUAGCAGCCUGUGUGCAAUGUUUUGUUAAUUGAUCUAUUAGUUCUUUAUUUGGGCUCUUAUAUUUUCUGGUUAUUAUACUGGUAUAGGAUUUCUUUACCAUUGGACUUGGUUGGGUGAUAUUUGGUGGCCUUCCAUUUGAUAUUUUGAAUGUCAUUGGGCAAUGUCUCGGUUUUCUUGGUUCUGGAUUGUACGCGUACAAUAAGCUCAUAGGGAAGUAGCAUAAUCAAUGGAUGGCUAGUUUUCUCCAUUGAAGAUGAUUAGUUGCAGCCUUUGCCCCUGUUCCCGCUCCAAUUUUGGGUUUGUGAUUAUGGAUCUUAGAAGGGAGAGGCGACUGUUAAAGAUAGGAGAUUUCUGCUCAGUGGAUACACAACUAUUAACUGGAAACAAAGCCUGCUUCUUUGGCCUUGUAGUUAUUCUUCUACAGGAUAGGUAUUAGAUUAGAAACAGUGAUGGCAAUUUAGUGUUGGCAGCUGCUUGCUGAUCUAAUUUGUUAGACUUGACAUUGUAUAUGAUGAUUCUCUCUUCUUCCAAUGU